This is a small nuclear RNA of Monodelphis domestica (gray short-tailed opossum), 160 nucleotides long. It matches the Rfam family "U1 spliceosomal RNA". Rfam says of the family: U1 is a small nuclear RNA (snRNA) component of the spliceosome (involved in pre-mRNA splicing). Its 5' end forms complementary base pairs with the 5' splice junction, thus defining the 5' donor site of an intron. NCBI's taxonomy places the organism in Eukaryota, Metazoa, Chordata, Mammalia, Didelphimorphia, Didelphidae. The record is from Rfam.
AUACUUACCUGGCAGGGGUAAUUCCAUGAUCAUGAAGGUGGUUUUCCCAGGGUGAGGCUUAUCCAUUGCAUUCUGGAUUGGCUGACCCCUGUGAUUUCCCCAAAUGCAGGGAAAUUUGACUGCAUAAUUUGUAGUAGUGGGGGACUGGGUUCUUCCCUGU